CCCUUAGAUGUUCUGGGUCGCACGCGCGCUACACUGAUGAAUUCAACGAGCCUAGCCUUGUCCGAAAGGUCCGGGUAAUCUCUGAAACUUCAUCGUGAUGGGGAUAGAUCAUUGCAAUUAUUGAUCUUCAACGAGGAAUUCCUAGUAAGCGCAAGUCAUCAGCUUGCGUUGAUUACGUCCCUGCCCUUUGUACACACCGCCCGUCGCUUGUACCGAUUGGAUGGUCCGGUGAAAUCUUCGGAUAGCUGGUAGUUGGCUUGCCAUCUACUGCUAAAAGUUGCUUAAACCUUAUCAUCUAGAGGAACAAGAAGUCGUAACA
This 319-nucleotide ribosomal RNA is filed under the name uncultured eukaryote. RNAcentral's name for it is "partial 18S ribosomal RNA". It matches the Rfam family "Eukaryotic small subunit ribosomal RNA", at positions 1470 to 1796 of the family's 1831-position model. The record is from RNAcentral.